This 73-nucleotide transfer RNA is filed under the name Ailuropoda melanoleuca (giant panda). Its description in RNAcentral is "tRNA-Lys (CTT) (tRNA-Lys-CTT-21-1)". It matches the Rfam family "tRNA". Rfam says of the family: Transfer RNA (tRNA) molecules are approximately 80 nucleotides in length. Their secondary structure includes four short double-helical elements and three loops (D, anti-codon, and T loops). Further hydrogen bonds mediate the characteristic L-shaped molecular structure. tRNAs have two regions of fundamental functional importance: the anti-codon, which is responsible for specific mRNA codon recognition, and the 3' end, to which the tRNAs corresponding amino acid is attached (by aminoacyl-tRNA synthetases). tRNAs cope with the degeneracy of the genetic code in two manners: having more than one tRNA (with a specific anti-codon) for a particular amino acid; and 'wobble' base-pairing, i.e. permitting non-standard base-pairing at the 3rd anti-codon position. The record is from Rfam by way of RNAcentral. Lineage: Eukaryota; Metazoa; Chordata; Mammalia; Carnivora; Ursidae.
GCCUGGCUGGCUCAGUCGGUAGAACAUGUGACUCUUAAUCUCAGGGUCAUGAGUUCCAGCCUCAUGCUGGGCA